This 468-nucleotide ribosomal RNA is filed under the name uncultured bacterium. RNAcentral describes it as "partial 16S ribosomal RNA". It matches the Rfam family "Bacterial small subunit ribosomal RNA", at positions 28 to 507 of the family's 1533-position model. The record is from RNAcentral.
GACGAACGCUGGCGGCGUGCUUAACACAUGCCAGUCGAACGGAAAGGCCCUGCUUUUGUGGGGUGCUCGAGUGGCGAACGGGUGAGUAACACGUGAGUAACCUGCCCUUGACUUUGGGAUAACUUCAGGAAACUGGGGCUAAUACCGGAUAGGAGCUCCUGCUGCAUGGUGGGGGUUGGAAAGUUUCGGCGGUUGGGGUUGGACUCGCGGCUUAUCAGCUUGUUGGUGGGGUAGUGGCUUACCAAGGCUUUGACGGGUAGCCGGCCUGAGAGGGUGACCGGACACAUUGGGACUGAGAUACGGCCCAGACUCCUACGGGAGGCAGCAGUGGGGAAGAGUGCACUAUGGGCGGAAGCCUGAUGCAGCAACGCCGCGUGCGGGAUGACGGCCUUCGGGUUGUAAACCGCUUUCGCCUGUGACGAAGCGUGAGUGACGGUAAUGGGUAAAGAAGCACCGGCUAACUACGUG